GACGAACGCUGGCGGCGUGCUUAACACAUGCAAGUCGAACGGAAAGGCCCUGCUUUUGUGGGGUGCUCGAGUGGCGAACGGGUGAGUAACACGUGAGUAACCUGCCCUUGACUUUGGGAUAACUUCAGGAAACUGGGGCUAAUACCGGAUAGGAGCUCCUGCUGCAUGGUGGGGGUUGGAAAGUUUCGGCGGUUGGGGAUGGACUCGCGGCUUAUCAGCUUGUUGGUGGGGUAGUGGCUUACCAAGGCUUUGACGGGUAGCCGGCCUGAGAGGGUGACCGGCCACAUUGGGACUGAGAUACGGCCAAGACUCAUACGGGAGGCAGCAGUGGGGAAUAGUGCACAAUGGGCGGAAGCCUGAUGCAGCAACGCCGCGUGCGGGAUGACGGCCUUCGGGUUGUAAACCGCUUUCGCCUGUGACGAAGCGUGAGUGACGGUAAUGGGUAAAGAAGCACCGGCUAACUACGUG
This 468-nucleotide ribosomal RNA is filed under the name uncultured bacterium. Its description in RNAcentral is "partial 16S ribosomal RNA". It matches the Rfam family "Bacterial small subunit ribosomal RNA", at positions 28 to 507 of the family's 1533-position model. The record is from RNAcentral.